GUGGGGAAUAUUGGACAAUGGGCGAAAGCCUGAUCCAGCCAUGCCGCGUGUGUGAAGAAGGUCUUCGGAUUGUAAAGCACUUUAAGUUGGGAGGAAGGGCAGUAAGUUAAUACCUUGCUGUUUUGACGUUACCGACAGAAUAAGCACCGGCUAACUUCGUGCCAGCAGCCGCGGUAAUACGAAGGGUGCAAGCGUUAAUCGGAAUUACUGGGCGUAAAGCGCGCGUAGGUGGUUUUGUAAGUUGGAGGUGAAAUCCCCGGGCUCAACCUGGGAACUGCCUCCAAAACUGCAUGACUAGAGUACGGUAGAGGGUAGUGGAAUUUCCUGUGUAGCGGUGAAAUGCGUAGAUAUAGGAAGGAACACCAGUGGCGAAGGCGACUACCUGGACUGAUACUGACACUGAGGUGCGAAAGCGUGGGGAGCAAACAGGAUUAGAAACUCCAGUAGUCC
Molecule: ribosomal RNA, 450 nt
Filed under: uncultured bacterium
Lineage: Bacteria
Description: partial 16S ribosomal RNA
Rfam family: Bacterial small subunit ribosomal RNA
Source: RNAcentral